This 244-nucleotide ribosomal RNA is filed under the name uncultured bacterium. Its description in RNAcentral is "partial 16S ribosomal RNA". It matches the Rfam family "Bacterial small subunit ribosomal RNA", at positions 791 to 1035 of the family's 1533-position model. The record is from RNAcentral.
UAGUCCAUGCCGUAAACGUUGGGCACUAGGUGUGGGGGACAUUCCACGUUUUCCGCGCCGUAGCUAACGCAUUAAGUGCCCCGCCUGGGGAGUACGGCCGCAAGGCUAAAACUCAAAGGAAUUGACGGGGGCCCGCACAAGCGGCGGAGCAUGCGGAUUAAUUCGAUGCAACGCGAAGAACCUUACCAAGGCUUGACAUGCACUGGAUCGCUGCAGAGAUGUGGUUUUCUUUGGACUGGUGCAC